GAGUGCUUGCGCCAGGACGCAUUCUUGAUGAUCUUCUCGAGGGCCGGGACUAGAACAAGGUUCAAGCGGUAAUCAGCUUCCGAAGAAGCCAUCCCGGAAUUCGAUGGUAUUUUAGAUCUGAGAUGAGAGCUGUAUUUUAAUAAUUUGGAUGCGACGGUGAUGGUGGCCGCCUGGUGGAAUAGAUGGUGGCAGAUAUGGUAGCGAAGACGGGUGGGCUGGUGACGGAGACUCUGGCGGAUCUAGUUUGGAAAGCGGAUAAAUGAGAGCAGGAAGCUGCUUUUGAAGUGCAGCAUAUGUUGAUUUGAU
Molecule: long non-coding RNA, 306 nt
Filed under: Olea europaea subsp. europaea
Lineage: Eukaryota; Viridiplantae; Streptophyta; Magnoliopsida; Lamiales; Oleaceae
Source: RNAcentral